This 319-nucleotide ribosomal RNA is filed under the name uncultured bacterium. RNAcentral's name for it is "bacterial SSU rRNA". It matches the Rfam family "Bacterial small subunit ribosomal RNA", at positions 775 to 1094 of the family's 1533-position model. The record is from RNAcentral.
GGAUUAGAUACCCCGGUAGUCCAUGCCGUAAACGGUGGGCGCUAGGUGUAGGGGGCUUCCACGUCUUCUGUGCCGUAGCUAACGCAUUAAGCGCCCCGCCUGGGGAGUACGGCCGCAAGGCUAAAACUCAAAGGAAUUGACGGGGGCCCGCACAAGCGGCGGAGCAUGUGGAUUAAUUCGAUGCAACGCGAAGAACCUUACCUGGGCUUGACAUACACUAGAUUGCUGCAGAGAUGUAGUGUCCCUUGUGGUUGGUGUACAGGUGGUGCAUGGUUGUCGUCAGCUCGUGUCGUGAGAUGUUGGGUCAAGUCCCGCAACG